UAACGCGUGAGUAACCUACCCCAUACACAAGGAUAGCCAUUGGAAACGAUGAUUAAUACUUGAUAAGACCACAUGAUCACAUGAUCAAGUGGUAAAAGCUCCGGCGGUAUAGGAUGGACUCGCGUCUGAUUAGCUAGUUGGUAAGGUAACGGCUUACCAAGACAGCGAUGGGUAGGGGCCCUGAGAGGGGGAUCCCCCACACUGGUACUGAGACACGGACCAGACUCC
Molecule: ribosomal RNA, 228 nt
Filed under: uncultured bacterium
Lineage: Bacteria
Description: partial 16S ribosomal RNA
Rfam family: Bacterial small subunit ribosomal RNA
Source: RNAcentral